UGUAGACGGAGCUCUGAGGAUUCACUCUCACAGUCGCUUUGGGUUUUGCUGUUGGUAUGAAAUGAUGGAGGAGUCAGAGCUGCUUUUCACUUUACAACAUAAGCAAUAAGUUCACUGUGUCUAACAGAUGCGUAGUGUUUAAAAAAUGUUAGAGUUGUAUAUUUUCUUACUUGUUAUUCUGUAUACUUUCUGUGUAAAAAAAAUUAAUGAUUGGAUUAAAGUGUAGAAACACUGUAUUUGCUGAUUUUUAGAUUGUUAUCUUAUGGAUCCUGCACAGAUCAUCUAAACAUAUCUGCAUUUAAAAAAUAAGCAUAAUCAUGACUUCAUACAGUUGAGCCAUGACAGAGGACUUUUCUUAAAAAUCUUCAGGCAUUGUAUAGCUGAGAAACAUUAAUUAGCAUUUUCAGUUUAGUCCAAACAUCAAAAUGACAGGAUAAGUCUGGCUUUUUAGUGAUGAGUAAAAUUAAAUCAAUUCAGAUAUUUGAAAUUAUAUAUGUAAUGAACUUCCCAUAGCACCAGAUGUAGAGUCCAUUUACACAUUUAUUAAACAAUACACAGCGUAUACAAUCCAAAGCCAUUUGCAAAAAGUCAUUAUCACAAUAGACAGGCAAAAGUUUAUAAACCAGUAGGGCAGUCAGCAUGGAAGAUGAUCCAAAUCAAUGAGCAAAAAAUAGGUUGGUAAACAGGCAAAAACUGUCAAGCCAGGUAAUGUGGCAAACAAUCCAGAAAUCACAAGCCAAGUAGCAAGAAUAAACUAAAAAAGCAGAACAAUGGUCAUAUGCAGGUAUACUUACAAGGAAAACAAUAAACGGCUUGGUAUACAGAGAACUGUUAAUACUUUGUACUGGUGUGCAUGCAGUUUAAAUGUCUGAUAACUCUUUACUCAGGAGAGGGCUCCCUCUUCUGUGGUGAUGGUGGAAUGGCCAUCCUCUAGGUCUCAGUGCAGGGCAAGCUGGGUGAGCUCAGUGGAAAUCUGAGAUAAGAGAACGGUCUAUGAUCUGGGUCUGUCUAGGCUGUCCCAGACUAUCAGGCAUCGAAAUUGGCCCCCUCUCCUGAAUGAUGUCUAGGAUGUCGUGGAGCAGGAACCAUGGCUCUUCCUUGGUGCAGUGCUUCCUACACGGGUGUCGUGCUCCUUGGGAGGUGGUUGUGAGUGCACUGGCAUUAUGCUGGGGAGGCAGCAUUAGAGCCGGAGAAGCAAGGAAGCUGAACACACUGAUAAAGAAGACUGGCUCUGUACUGGGAUGCUCCC
Molecule: long non-coding RNA, 1249 nt
Organism: Hemibagrus wyckioides
Lineage: Eukaryota; Metazoa; Chordata; Actinopteri; Siluriformes; Bagridae
Exons: 3
Source: RefSeq, a predicted model, not a curated record